CUUGGGUUAAGCUGGGGACACAAACUUGGGCUGACGAUGGAGGAGUUUAAGACGCACUUCUAACUAAGAGGCCUCGGUAAAGUAACCAUCUCCUGUGUUUCCCAAAAGGCCAGAAAUAGUCUUCAAACGUGUCAUCUUCACAUUGGCCUGGCUGGUGUUUGAGUAUAUCUCCUAAGUCCAAGGGGCAGAAACUUCAUCUUAACUCAGUAGUGUCCAGAGGCAGGACCUUUAAGGAGUAGUGAGCCUGUGGGGCUUUGGAGUGGAUUGCUGCUGCUGCAGGGGAGUGGGCUGGUCAUCCUGAGAGGGGGUCAGUUAUAAAGGGGUCAGGCCUUCUCUUGCCCUCUGCCCUCCACCACAGCAUGCCAGCCCCAUGCUCUUGGGUUUCCAGCCUCCAGAUCUGUGAGCGGCAGCAAUGGCUACUGAUACCAAUCCCUGGGUGGCUUAACAGUGUGAAACACAUGACCUUAUUAACCCAGCUUGUCCCCUGGCCCUGUAUGUGGACACCAGUAGGAACACCAGCCAACCAACAGAUACACCACCUGCUGUCUCUUUGAAAAAGUUGUUAUGUUUUUAGAGGUCUAUUCUUUUGAAAAAAGUAAUGGAUGAAUGCUUAGAUGUCUGAAAGUAUUCGUAAAUUAAUUGU
Molecule: long non-coding RNA, 643 nt
Filed under: Marmota monax (woodchuck)
Lineage: Eukaryota; Metazoa; Chordata; Mammalia; Rodentia; Sciuridae
Source: RNAcentral